AAUGAACGCUGGCGGCAGGCCUAACACAUGCAAGUCGAGCGAGGACUUCGGUCCUAGCGGCGGUCGGGUGAGUAACGCGUGGGAACGUGCCCUUUGCUUCGGAAUAGCCCUGGGAAACUGGGAGUAAUACCGGAUGAGCCCUUUGGGGGAAAGAUUUAUCGGCGAAGGAUCGGCCCGCGUUGGAUUAGGUAGUUGGUGGGGUAAUGGCCUACCAAGCCGUCGAUCCAUAGCUGGUUUGCGAGGAUGCUCAGCCACACUGGGACUGAGGCACGGCCCAGACUCCUACGGGAGGCAGGAGAGGGGAAUCUUAGACAAUGGGGGAGAGCCUGAGCUAGCCAUGCCGCGUAAGCGAUGAAGGCCUUAGAGUUGUAAAGCUCUUUCAGCUGGCAAGAUAAUGACGGUACCAGCAGAAGAAGCCCCGGCUAACUCCGUG
RNAcentral lists this ribosomal RNA (433 nucleotides) under uncultured bacterium. Its description in RNAcentral is "partial 16S ribosomal RNA". It matches the Rfam family "Bacterial small subunit ribosomal RNA", at positions 29 to 507 of the family's 1533-position model. The record is from RNAcentral.